Long non-coding RNA from Crotalus tigris (Tiger rattlesnake), 598 nucleotides. RefSeq lists it as uncharacterized. The transcript is spliced from 3 exons. The record is from RefSeq and is a predicted model, not a curated record. NCBI's taxonomy places the organism in Eukaryota, Metazoa, Chordata, Lepidosauria, Squamata, Viperidae.
ACAGAGCCAAAAAGCAAGAAACCAACAGUUAGACUAAACAAUUUCCCUUUGUUCCAGAACCCUUCACAUCCUUAUGUAACUUGGCUCUAUAUCAUGCAGCCUGAACAGUGCUGGGAUUCAAAUAUGUGAACAACUGGUUUUCUGUGUGGAUGCCGCUUCCGGAAGUCCAUUCUGGACCUGGGCAACAAAAAAUUAGCUACAGUUUCUGCCAAAGUGAUUUCUAUCGCUGUGAGAAAGCUAUGAAUGCCAAAGGCUCUGAUCCCUAUGUCUGUCAGUGCUUUAAAAAAGUAUACUCAUCCCUGUGCCCUUCUUUUUGGGUUGACAACUGGGAUGAACUUCAGGGAAAUGGCUAUUUUCCAGGCAAAAUAUGAUGGUCUUUUGUCUGCCAGUAGCUCCCCCUACUCAGGAUGUUGCACUGCUGAGUCCUUUCUAUGUGUGCAUCUGAAGGAUUGUCUGAAAUGGCUCUUGUCUGCUUGAGCAUCUGAAUCAUGUAAUAGUACAAAAUCUUGGAUAUUACCUGUUAUGUCCCGAGCCUUGCAAACAGGCUCGGUGCGUUUGCAGGCAGUCCCGGGCAGGUGCAAGCUGCCCGGGACCAGAC